GGAGAGGUGGCAGAGUGGUAAUGCAACAGCCUGCUAAGCUGUCAACGAGCAAUCGUUGCCAGGGUUCGAAUCCCUGUCUCUCCGC
This 85-nucleotide transfer RNA is filed under the name Crocinitomicaceae bacterium. RNAcentral describes it as "tRNA-Ser(gct)". It matches the Rfam family "tRNA". Rfam says of the family: Transfer RNA (tRNA) molecules are approximately 80 nucleotides in length. Their secondary structure includes four short double-helical elements and three loops (D, anti-codon, and T loops). Further hydrogen bonds mediate the characteristic L-shaped molecular structure. tRNAs have two regions of fundamental functional importance: the anti-codon, which is responsible for specific mRNA codon recognition, and the 3' end, to which the tRNAs corresponding amino acid is attached (by aminoacyl-tRNA synthetases). tRNAs cope with the degeneracy of the genetic code in two manners: having more than one tRNA (with a specific anti-codon) for a particular amino acid; and 'wobble' base-pairing, i.e. permitting non-standard base-pairing at the 3rd anti-codon position. Lineage: Bacteria; Pseudomonadati; Bacteroidota; Flavobacteriia; Flavobacteriales; Crocinitomicaceae. The record is from RNAcentral.